GCCAGGCAUGGUGAUGUAUGCCUGUGGUCCCAGCUACUUGGGAGGCUGAGGCAGGAGAUCCCUUGAGCCCAGGAGGUCAAGGUUGCAGUGAGCCAUGGUUGUGCCACUGCACCCCAGCCUGGGUGACACAGUGAGAUCCUGUCUCAA
RNAcentral lists this non-coding RNA (147 nucleotides) under Nomascus leucogenys (northern white-cheeked gibbon). The record is from Rfam by way of RNAcentral. Lineage: Eukaryota; Metazoa; Chordata; Mammalia; Primates; Hylobatidae.